This 1401-nucleotide ribosomal RNA is filed under the name uncultured prokaryote. RNAcentral describes it as "partial 16S ribosomal RNA". It matches the Rfam family "Bacterial small subunit ribosomal RNA". The record is from RNAcentral.
GAGUUUGAUCCUGGCUCAGAUUGAACGCUGGCGGUAUGCUUAACACAUGCAAGUCGAACGCGAAAGAGUUCUUCGGAACUUGAGUAGAGUGGCGGACGGGUGAGUAAUAAAUAGGAAUCUGCCUAGUAGCGGGGGACAACGUGGUGAAAACCACGCUAAUACCGCAUACGCCCUACGGGGGAAAGCGGGGGAUCUUUGGACCUCGCGCUAUUAGAUGAGCCUGCGUUGGAUUAGCUAGUUGGUGAGGUAAUGGCUCACCAAGGCGACGAUCCUUAGCUGGUUUGAGAGAACGAUCAGCCACACUGGGACUGAGACACGGCCCAGACUCCUACGGGAGGCAGCAGUGGGGAAUAUUGGACAAUGGGCGCAACCCUGAUCCAGCAAUACCGCGUGUGUGAAGAAGGCCUGAGGGUUGUAAAGCACUUUCAAUUGUGAAGAAAAGCCUGAGGUUAAUAGCCUCGAGUCUUGACGUUAACUUUAGAAGAAGCACCGGCUAACUCUGUGCCAGCAGCCGCGGUAAUACAGAGGGUGCGAGCGUUAAUCGGAAUUACUGGGCGUAAAGCGUGCGUAGGCGGUAUUGUAAGUGGGAUGUGAAAGCCCCGGGCUCAACCUGGGAACUGCAUUCCAAACUGCAAAACUAGAGUAUGGUAGAGGGAAGUGGAAUUUCAGGUGUAGCGGUGAAAUGCGUAGAGAUCUGAAGGAACACCGGUGGCGAAGGCGACCAUCUGGCCAGAUACUGACGCUGAGGUGCGAAAGCAUGGGGAGCAAACAGGAUUAGAUACCCUGGUAGUCCACGCCGUAAACGAUGUCAACUAGCCGUUGGAGGGCUUUGUCCCUUUAGUGGCGCAGCUAACGCGAUAAGUUGACCGCCUGGGGAGUACGGCCGCAAGGUUAAAACUCAAAUGAAUUGACGGGGGCCCGCACAAGCGGUGGAGCAUGUGGUUUAAUUCGAUGCAACGCGAAGAACCUUACCAGGUCUUGACAUCCCGAGAAUUUGCUAGAGAUAGCUUAGUGCCUUCGGGAACUCGGUGACAGGUGCUGCAUGGCUGUCGUCAGCUCGUGUUGUGAGAUGUUUGGGUUAAGUCCCGAACGAGCGCAACCCUUGUCCUUAGUUGCCAGCACGUAAUGGUGGGAACUCUAAGGAGACUGCCGGUGACAAACCGGAGGAAGGUGGGGACGACGUCAAGUCAUCAUGGCCCUUACGACCUGGGCUACAUACGUGCUACAAUGGCCGGUACAGAGGGCAGCAAACCAGCGAUGGUAAGCGAAUCCCUUAAAACCGGUCGUAGUCCGGAUCGGAGUCUGCAACUCGACUCCGUGAAGUCGGAAUCGCUAGUAAUCGCGAAUCAGAAUGUCGCGGUGAAUACGUUCCCGGGCCUUGUACACACCGCCCGUCACACC